RNAcentral lists this ribosomal RNA (445 nucleotides) under uncultured bacterium. RNAcentral's name for it is "bacterial SSU rRNA". It matches the Rfam family "Bacterial small subunit ribosomal RNA", at positions 30 to 517 of the family's 1533-position model. The record is from RNAcentral.
UGAACGCUGGCGGCGUGCUUAACACAUGCAAGUCGAACGAACCUUCGGGUUAGUGGCGGACGGGUGAGUAACGCGUGAGAAUCUGCCCUCAGGAGGGGGAAGUAACGGCUGGAAACGGCCGCUAAUACCCCAUAUGCCGCGAGGUGAAACGAAUUUCGCCUGAGGAUGAGCUCGCGUCUGAUUAGCUAGUUGGUGGGGUAAGAGCCUACCAAGGCAUCGAUCAGUAGCUGGUCUGAGAGGAUGAUCAGCCACACUGGGACUGAGACACGGCCCAGACUCCUACGGGAGGCAGCAGUGGGGAAUUUUCCGCAAUGGGCGAAAGCCUGACGGAGCAACGCCGCGUGAGGGAUGAAAGGCCUCUGGGGCUGUAAAACCUCUUUUAUCAAGGAAGAAGAUCUGACGGUACUUGAUGAAUAAGCCACGGCUAAUUCCGUGCCAGCAGCCG